Molecule: transfer RNA, 70 nt
Filed under: Hydrophilidae sp. BMNH 1274734
Lineage: Eukaryota; Metazoa; Arthropoda; Insecta; Coleoptera; Hydrophilidae
Description: tRNA-Val
Source: RNAcentral
CAAAGUAGAGCUUGGUAUAAAGCAUUUUAUUUACAUUAAAAAGUUAAUUGUGUAAUUCAAUUUAUUUUGA